UAGUUUUUGACAACUUUUAAAUUUCCAGGAU
This 31-nucleotide non-coding RNA is filed under the name Rattus norvegicus (Norway rat). The record is from RNAcentral. Lineage: Eukaryota; Metazoa; Chordata; Mammalia; Rodentia; Muridae.